RNAcentral lists this ribosomal RNA (1421 nucleotides) under uncultured bacterium. Its description in RNAcentral is "bacterial SSU rRNA". It matches the Rfam family "Bacterial small subunit ribosomal RNA". The record is from RNAcentral.
AGAGUUUGAUCCUGGCUCAGAACGAACGCUGGUAGCGUGGAUUAGGCAUGCAAGUCGAACGGGAUCAGGAGGAUAGCAAUAUUCUUCUGUGAGAGUGGCGGAUUGGGGAGGAACACGUGAACAACCUGCCCUUGAGUUCGGGAAAACCAUUGGAAACGAUGGCUAAUACCGGAUGUGGCGUCGGUGGACAUCCACUGAACGCUAAAGGGGGCCGCAAGGCUCCCGCUCAUCGAGGGGUUCGCGCACCAUCAGCUUGUUGGCGGGGUAACGGCCCACCAAGGCCUACGGUUAGCUGGUCUGAGAGGAUGACCAGCCCCACUGGGACUGAGAUACUGCCCAGACUCCUACGGGAGGCUGCAGUCGAGGAUCAUUUGCAAUGGGCGAAAGCCUGACAAUGCGACGCUGCGUGGAGGAUGAAGGCCUUCGGGUUGUAAACUCCUGUCAUAGGGGAACAGGCGAUCCGACCUAAUACGUCGGUGAGUUGAGUGUACCCUAAGAGGAAUUGGCGGCUAACUCUGUGCCAGCAGCCGCGGUAAUACAGAGGCCAAGAGCGUUGUUCGGAUUUACUGGGCGUAAAGGGCGCGUAGGCGGUCUUGCGUGUCAAGUGUGAAAUCUCCGGGCUCAACCCGGAAAGUGCGCUUGAAACUACAGGACUCGAGUCUGGGAGAGGGAAUCGGAAUACAGGGUGUAGCGGUGAAAUGCGUUGAUAUCCUGUAGAACACCGGAGGCGAAGGCGGAUUCCUUGAACAGUACUGACGCUGAGGCGCGAAAGUCGGGGGAGCAAACAGGAUUAGAUACCCUGGUAGUCCAGACACUUAAACGGUGCACACUCGGGGUGGGGGCCAUUUUCACCGGUCCCCGGCCCUUUAGCUAACGCGUUAAAGUGUGCCGCCUGGGGGAGUACGGCCCGCAAGGGCUAAAACUCAAAGAAAUUGACGGGGGCCCGCACAAGCAGAGGAGCAAUGUGGCUUAAUUCGAUGCAACGCGAAGAACCUUACCUGGAUUUGACAUCGUCGGCAAUGCCCUAUGAAAGUAGGGCGGAGGUUAUCCGAUAGACAGGUGCUGCAUGGCUGUCGUCAGUUCGUGCCGUGAGGUGUUUGGUUAAGUCCACCAACGAACGCAACCCCUUUGGUAUGUUGCCAUCAGGUAAUGCUGGGAACUCGUACCAUACUGCCUGUUUACGCAGGAGGAAGGUGGGGAUGACGUCAAGUCAGUAUGGCCCUUACAUCCAGGGCUGCACACGUGCUACAAUGGCCGGUACAGAGGGACGCAAGACCGCAAGGUGGAGCCAAUCCCAGAGAGCCGGCCUCAGUUCAGAUCGGGGUCUGCAACCCGACCCCGUGAAGUCGGAUUUGCUAGUAACGGCGUAUCAGCUACGACGCCGUGAAUGAAAGGCCGGGCCUUGCACUCACCGCCCGUCA